Small nucleolar RNA from Vidua macroura (Pin-tailed whydah), 141 nucleotides. The record is from RefSeq and is a predicted model, not a curated record. Lineage: Eukaryota; Metazoa; Chordata; Aves; Passeriformes; Viduidae.
GCCCGGCCCUAUCGAAGCUGCGUCUGUCGGUGCUGUGGUAGAUGCAGUCAAAAAGGAGCCGAGAGCAGAGAUUUUCCUCGACGGUCGCCGCUCAGUUGGAGCCCUAGUAACUGUCCGGCAACAUUUCGGGAAAGUACAUGG